This 331-nucleotide unclassified non-coding RNA is filed under the name soil metagenome. RNAcentral's name for it is "partial contains 5.8S ribosomal RNA, internal transcribed spacer 2, and large subunit ribosomal RNA". The stretch from base 1 to 120 matches the Rfam family "5.8S ribosomal RNA", at positions 35 to 154 of the family's 154-position model. The record is from RNAcentral.
GAUGAAGAACGCAGCGAAAUGCGAUAAGUAAUGUGAAUUGCAGAAUUCAGUGAAUCAUCGAAUCUUUGAACGCACAUUGCGCCCCCUGGUAUUCCGGGGGGCAUGCCUGUUCGAGCGUCAUUUCACCACUCAAGCCUCGCUUGGUAUUGGGCAACGCGGUCCGCCGCGUGCCUCAAAUCGACCGGCUGGGUCUUCUGUCCCCUAAGCGUUGUGGAAACUAUUCGCUAAAGGGUGUUCGGGAGGCUACGCCGUAAAACAACCCCAUUUCUACGGUUGACCUCGGAUCAGGUAGGGAUACCCGCUGAACUUAAGCAUAUCAAUAAGCGGAGGA